Operophtera brumata (winter moth) is the source of this 45-nucleotide non-coding RNA. The record is from Rfam. NCBI's taxonomy places the organism in Eukaryota, Metazoa, Arthropoda, Insecta, Lepidoptera, Geometridae.
CCUUAGGCCCUUUUCAGGGCCACCAUGACUCAAGCUACUAUCUGG